UACGUAGGGCGCAAGCGUUAUCCGGAAUUAUUGGGCGUAAAGAGCUCGUAGGCGGUUUGUCGCGUCUGCCGUGAAAGUCCGGGGCUCAACUCCGGAUCUGCGGUGGGUACGGGCAGACUAGAGUGAUGUAGGGGAGACUGGAAUUCCUGGUGUAGCGGUGAAAUGCGCAGAUAUCAGGAGGAACACCGAUGGCGAAGGCAGGUCUCUGGGCAUUAACUGACGCUGAGGAGCGAAAGCAAGGGGAGCGAACAGG
This 253-nucleotide ribosomal RNA is filed under the name uncultured bacterium. RNAcentral describes it as "partial 16S ribosomal RNA". It matches the Rfam family "Bacterial small subunit ribosomal RNA", at positions 524 to 776 of the family's 1533-position model. The record is from RNAcentral.